RNAcentral lists this long non-coding RNA (913 nucleotides) under Homo sapiens (human). Its description in RNAcentral is "HSALNT0180520". The record is from RNAcentral. Lineage: Eukaryota; Metazoa; Chordata; Mammalia; Primates; Hominidae.
GGAUGAAUUAUUAAGUUUUAUAUCACUAUUUUGAAACAAAUUCGUAAAAAAAUCAGAAAUCUGAGAAACAGAGAAAAUCCCUAGGAAUGCCAUGAAAGAGUAAGAUGGAUGAAAGCAGAAGUGCAUGACCUCUGAGUAACCAGUCUCACAGGUUUGUCCCAAACUGUGUGUGAAAAGAAGGAAGGCUGGGCAGAAUUCAGCAUUUGAAUGGCUGGAAGGAGCUGCCAUUCUAGAAUUGGUAUUUGGCAGCAUAUAGAAAGUAACCAGGAAGACCAAAUAUCCCAAGGAUUGUGGCUAGAGCUGUGAGCAGACUGAGCUGGAAGUGGAAUGGAGGGAGAUAGACCAUGAAGAAACAGCAUGCUUACAAUGAUCCAAGAUAUUGAACUCACCUACCCUUUACUGUCAAUUCAGUAGUUUUGCACUGAAUUGACAUAUCUGUAUUGCUGCAUAUCUGUAAGGAGAGGAGGAGGAAUGCAAAGCCAGAAGACCACUGUGCAGUACAAAUGUGGAAGAGAAUUCUGUAAGAAUUAGAGGUGACGUGGAGUGAAUCAGCUCUUCUUUCAUCUUGGAAGUAAUAUCUUGACAUGCUGCAAACCAAUGAACCAUCAGAAACUUCACCGAGGUUUCAAACACUUGUACUAUGUGCACUACAACUAUGGACAGAGUGACUACUGGCAGAAAUGAACCCAUGUGAGAAUUCUGGGAUCGAAGAGAACAAGGAGCUAAAGGAAGUCAGUUGGAUGAUGUAGGAGGGAGGCUCCUGUUUUUCUGACAUCACUGCCAGAUGAAGCACCAAAUAAUUAGAAAGCUUUCACUCCAUUUGCCUUGGAUAGAUUUAAAGGCUAGGCACAGUCAUUUGUGUUAGUUAAAAUCUCUGAAACCUUAAAAAUAAAUAAAUAAAUAAAUAAAAUCA